GACGAACGCUGGCGGCGUGCUUAACACAUGCAAGUCGAACGGAGCUGUUUAUUCGGUAGAUAGCUUAGUGGCAAACGGGUGAGUAACGCGUAGGCAACCUGCCCUUAGGAUGGGGACAACGGCCCGAAAGGACCGCUAAUACCGAAUGGACUCUAACUUUCGCAUGGAAGAAAGAGAAAAGAUGGUGCAAGCCAUCGCCGAAGGAAGGGCCUGCGUCUGAUUAGCCAGUUGGUGAGGUAACGGCUCACCAAAGCGACGAUCAGUAGCCGGUCUGAGAGGAUGAACGGCCACAAUGGGACUGAGACACGGCUCAUACUCCUACGGGAGGCAGCAGUGGGGAAUCUUCCGCAAUGGGCGAAAGCCUGACGGAGCAACGCCGCGUGAGUGAAGAAGGUCUUCGGAUCGUAAAGCUCUGUUGUUGGGGACGAAAGGGUAGACGAGGCAAUGCGUCUACUAAGACGGUACCCGACGAGGAAGCCACGCUAA
This 486-nucleotide ribosomal RNA is filed under the name Veillonellaceae bacterium oral taxon 129. RNAcentral's name for it is "bacterial SSU rRNA". It matches the Rfam family "Bacterial small subunit ribosomal RNA", at positions 28 to 500 of the family's 1533-position model. The record is from RNAcentral. Lineage: Bacteria; Bacillati; Bacillota; Negativicutes; Veillonellales; Veillonellaceae.